GCCAAAGCCAACCACAACAUCUGCAACAACCGGAACCACAACAGUUGCAGCUGCAGCCAAGACUAGACCAGGACUGCAUAGGGUCAGAGAUAUAGGUUCUAGCAGUGUCCACCCAGCGUACUCAUCUGUGGUAGCUGCAGCAUCAACAUUCAGGAGCACGUCCACCUCUGCAAGUAACAGGAAUAUUUUAAGACCCAAUACAGGUAAAGACAUU
RNAcentral lists this long non-coding RNA (214 nucleotides) under Amazona collaria (yellow-billed parrot). RNAcentral describes it as "lncRNA (ENSACOG00000017166.1)". The record is from RNAcentral. Lineage: Eukaryota; Metazoa; Chordata; Aves; Psittaciformes; Psittacidae.